RNAcentral lists this long non-coding RNA (284 nucleotides) under Elaeis guineensis (African oil palm). RNAcentral describes it as "long non-coding RNA (EGUI_LNC025901)". The record is from RNAcentral. Lineage: Eukaryota; Viridiplantae; Streptophyta; Magnoliopsida; Arecales; Arecaceae.
GAGCGGUAUCAUUGCUUCUAUCCCAUAAACUAAAUUGAAGGAAGAUUCCCCAGUCGGUAUGUGGGGAGUCAUUCGAUAUGCCUAUAAAACUGGAUAUAGUUCUUCCAUCCAGAGGUCUUUGACUUCAUUCAGUUAGAUUUUUAGCCCAUGCAGGAUUGUUCGGUUCAUUACCUCCACCUCUUCAUUUGACUGUGGAUGGCCGACCGACAUAAGUUUGUGCAUAAUAUGAAACUUCGCAUAGAACUCUCUGAAAUUUUGGUUGUCAAAUUGUCGACCAUUGUCAG